This 1048-nucleotide long non-coding RNA is filed under the name Homo sapiens (human). RNAcentral's name for it is "HSALNT0128590". The record is from RNAcentral. Lineage: Eukaryota; Metazoa; Chordata; Mammalia; Primates; Hominidae.
CUACUGAGCACCUUGUGACCCCCACACCUGCCCGCCAGAGAACAACCCCCCUUUGACUGUAAUUUUCCUUUACCUACCCAAAUCCUAUAAAAUGGCCCCACCCCAUCUCCCUUUGCUGACUCUCUUUUUGGAUUUAGCCAGCCUGCACCCAGGUGAUUGAAAGCCUUAUUGCUCACACAAAGCCUGUUUGGUGGUCUCUUCACAUCGACGCUCAUGAAAUUUGGUGCCAAAACCGGGGAUUGGGGGACCUCCCUUAGGAGAUCAAUCCCUUAUCCUUCCUCCUGCUCUUUGCUCCAUGAGAAAGAUCCACCUAUGACCUCUGGUCCUCAGACCCACCAGCCCAAGGAACAUCUCACCAAUUUCAAAUCCGAUCUUCUCGGCUUAGCAGCUGAAGACUGACACUGGCCGAUUGCCUCCGAAACCUACAGGACCAUCACAGAUGCUCUGGGUAACUCUCACAGUGGAAGACAGGAAUGUCAGGCCUCUGAGCCCAAGCUAAGCCAUCAUAUCCCCUGUGACCUGCACGUACACAUCCAGAUGGCCGGUUCCUGCCUUAACUGAUGACAUUCCACCACAAAAGAAGUGAAAAUGGCCUGUUCCUGCCUUAACUGAUGACUUUGUCUUGUGAAAUUCCUUCUCCUGGAUCAUCCUGGCUCAAAAGCUCCCCUACUGAGCACCUUGUGACCCCCACACCUGCCCGCCAGAGAACAACCCCCCUUUGACUGUAAUUUUCCUUUACCUACCCAAAUCCUAUAAAAUGGCCCCACCCCUUUCUCCCUUCACUGACUCUCUUUUUGGAUUCAGCCACCCUGCACCCAGUCCUGAGGAAGAUUGACAUUUGCCACACCUGCAUAAAGAACCCACUUGGUGAAAACCCAAGUUUUCUUGGAGUCUGCUGCUGUGAGACACGAGGAAAAAACAGUACAUGUGUACACGGUAGAUCUGGAAGGGAAAGCAGAAAGUAUCCAACACUUCUUGCAUGAAGAAAACAAAAUGUAAGUUUUUCAGUUUAUGACCAUGUGUUUACUUACUGCUUCCUAAUUUCAAC